ACGGGUGAGUAAUGUCUGGGGAUCUGCCCGAUAGAGGGGGAUAACCACUGGAAACGGUGGCUAAUACCGCAUAACGUCGCAAGACCAAAGAGGGGGACCUUCGGGCCUCUCACUAUCGGAUGAACCCAGAUGGGAUUAGCUAGUAGGCGGGGUAACGGCCCACCUAGGCGACGAUCCCUAACUGGUCUGAGAGGAUGACCAGCCACACUGGAACUGAGACACGGUCCAGACUCCUACGGGAGGCAGCAGUGGGGAAUAUUGCACAAUGGGCGCAAGCCUGAUGCAGCCAUGCCGCGUGUAUGAAGAAGGCCUUCGGGUUGUAAAGUACUUUCAGCGGGGAGGAAGGCGAUAAGGUUAAUAACCUUGUCGAUUGACGUUACCCGCAGAAGAAGCACCGGCUAACUCCGUGCCAGCAGCCGCGGUAAUACGGAGGGUGCAAGCGUUAAUCGGAAUUACUGGGCGUAAAGCGCACGCAGGCGGUCUGUUAAGUCAGAUGUGAAAUCCCCGGGCUUAACCUGGGAACUGCAUUUGAAACUGGCAGGCUUGAGUCUCGUAGAGGGGGGUAGAAUUCCAGGUGUA
RNAcentral lists this ribosomal RNA (579 nucleotides) under uncultured bacterium. RNAcentral's name for it is "bacterial SSU rRNA". It matches the Rfam family "Bacterial small subunit ribosomal RNA", at positions 102 to 677 of the family's 1533-position model. The record is from RNAcentral.